UGUUCGGGCUUGUGCACAGGGCUGGGCUAAGGGUAGGGGAGUGCUCACCUGUCUCUACCACUUCCCGGGGAGCCAGUCCAUCCACCUUCAGAUAUAGCUGCAUGGGUCUCUCAGGUAUCCUGUUGUGCAAUGUGGGUAUCCUCUGUUGAUCAAUGAAUGUUCAUUUAGUUGUAGUGCAAAAGAGGAAAGAGAAAGGAAACAGUUCACUGUGCCAUGUUGCUGACGUCCCUUCCAAAAACUUUUUAUUUUUAAACAAUUACAGAUUCACAGAGUUGCAAAAAAAACCAAAGAGGUCCCAUAUACCCUUCACUCAUACUCAUACUCCUAACUAUAGUACACUAUCAAAACCAGGAAAUUGCUAUUGAUAAAAUCCAUAGAGCUUAUUCAGAGGUGAGGGAAGACAUUAGAAAGUAAAGAAUGUAUGAAAGUAUUAGAGGGUGCUUAUGUACUGGAACUUCUUAUAACUGUAUGCUUUAUGAGAAAGAAUUUUGUAAUAAUGGUGAUAAUGUUACAGAAUAUUGAGUACUUACUAUAUUCCAAGUGUUUUAUCUACGUGAGGAAUUUUAUUACUAUCAUUGUUGUUAUCUGUAUUUCUACUAUUAUAAGCAGGUAAUUACUGAGCAAUUAUGUAGCAAACAAUCUUCUAAGCAGUUGAUAUGUAUUAACUCAUUGAAUCCUCAUAAAAACUCUGAGGCAAGUCUAUUAUAACUCACUUUUCAGAUGAAAAAAUUUAAGCACAGAAAGGUUUAGUAAUUUGCCCAAGAUCACACAGUAAGUAGAAGAACUGGCAUUUGAACUGGGUCUGACACCAGAGCCAAUACUCCUGAUCAUCAUGUAGGUACAUAAACUUCAGUGUUUAUCGUAACCUUUCAAGGUGGGUAUUAUUAUUUCCAUUUUCUAUAUGAGGAACCUGAGGUUCAGAGAGGCUAAGCACCUUGCUCAAGACCCUACAAAACUAACAAGUGCUGGAGCUCCAGUUUGAUUCCAGGCCUGGCUAGUUGCAAAACCUCCACUUUUCCUAGUUGACCAUUGCUAGGGACUGAAUGUUUGUGUCCCCCCACAAAUUCAUGUGUUGAAACCUCAUCCCCAAUGUGAUAAUGUUUGGAGAUGGGGCCUUUGAGAGAUAAUUAAGUCAUGAUGGUUGAACCCUGAUGAAUGGGAUUAGUGCCCCUAUAAAAGAGGCUCCAGAGAGAGCCCUCAUCCCUUCCAACAUGUGACAUUACAGUGAGUAGACUGCAGCCUAUGAGGAAGCAGGUUCUCACUAGCCACCAAGUCAGCCAUCACUUUGAUCUUUGACUUCCCAGUCUGCAGAGCUGUGAGAAAUAAAUUUCUGUUGUUUAUAAGCCAGCCAGUCUAUGGUAUUUUUUUAUAGCAGCUGGAACGGACAAAACAACCGUGCUGCCUCCCUGGCCUAUAAUACAGAUCUCUGCUGGACCUCUGUGAUAUUGUGGUUUGUAUUAAGAAAUAUAUAUUUGGUCUUCCUCCACCGUUUCAGGUACAUAACUCCUAAAACCUUUGUAGUUUUCUAAGUGAUAAGAGUCACAGGAGCAUCUUUCCUUCACUGCUUCUGAAAUAGCUCCAGGGUGAAAUGGGUAUCCUUUGUUAUUCAUAACAAGCCUCUUGUUUGUUUGUUUUGCUGAAGAAGAUUUGCCCUGAGCUAACAUCUGUUGCCCAUCUUCCUCUUUUUGCUUGAGGAAGAUUCGCCCUGAACCAACAUCUGUGCCAAUCUUCCACUAUUUUGUCUGUGGGUUACUGCCACAGCGUGGACGCCAAUGAGUGGUGUAGGUGUGUUCCUGGGAACCGAACCCAGGCUGCCAAAGUGGAGCGCACCGAACUUUACCACUAGGCUAUGGGACCGGCCCCAUAACAAGCCCCUUUUAACCACGCCUGAGUUUAUGUUAAUACAUGAAUUUGAAAAGCCUGUAAGGGUAGGGGGGCUGGUUGCCAGGUGAACCAGCCAUGUGACUAGAGGGUUGGAACUUUUAGUCCCAUCCCCCAACCCCCUGGGGAGGGAGAGGGACUGGAGGUUGACUCAGUGGCCAAUGAUUUACAUCAAUCAUGCCUACUAAACGAAGCCUCCAUAAAACCCCCAAAAGGACAGGUUCGAAGAGCUUCAGGGUUGCUGGACACGUGGAGGUGCUGAGAGGGUGGUGCACCCGGGGAAGGCAUAGAAGCUCUGUGCCUUUCUGCAUACCUCACCCUACACAUCUCUUCUGUCUGGCUAUUCCUGAGUUAUAUCCUUUUAUAAUAAACAGAUUUGUUUGCCUGAUUUUGAACUCUGCAUAAUGAAAUGGCUUCUUUUACUCAACAUCAUGUUGCUGUCUUAGAAGUGAAGAAUGGAACAGUGCUGUGUGGGAAGGGAGUCUUUGGACUCUUGAUAAAUAACAGUGCUUUUCCACAAAUGGAAAUAAAGAGAUGUCUUGGAAUAGGAGACAGAUACCACAAGACUCCAACGCUGUUAUACCAACAGGGGCUGGAUCAUUUAUAACUUCAUUUUCUGAUUUUAAGACUCUUGAUUCAACUCAUCUUCAAAGCGAAAAAGAAUAGAGGUCAUUACAAAUAUCAUAGCAAGGCUGCAAGUUAUGUGAUUUUAUGCUUGUGAGAACUAGUUUCAAAGUAACUUCUCAAUUCAAUUCUUUCAAUUCAAUUGAAAAAGAAAACUGCAUCCGAGAGGAAGGGUCAGCAUCUGAAGAGAGAUGAUUGAAGUUCUAAUGGUGGCUGUCAUGCAAA
This is a long non-coding RNA of Diceros bicornis minor, 2730 nucleotides long. RefSeq lists it as uncharacterized. The record is from RefSeq and is a predicted model, not a curated record. The transcript has 3 exons. NCBI's taxonomy places the organism in Eukaryota, Metazoa, Chordata, Mammalia, Perissodactyla, Rhinocerotidae.